Molecule: ribosomal RNA, 2399 nt
Filed under: Escherichia coli
Lineage: Bacteria; Pseudomonadati; Pseudomonadota; Gammaproteobacteria; Enterobacterales; Enterobacteriaceae
Description: bacterial LSU rRNA
Rfam family: Bacterial large subunit ribosomal RNA
Source: RNAcentral
UUAAGCGACUAAGCGUACACGGUGGAUGCCCUGGCAGUCAGAGGCGAUGAAGGACGUGCUAAUCUGCGAUAAGCGUCGGUAAGGUGAUAUGAACCGUUAUAACCGGCGAUUUCCGAAUGGGGAAACCCAGUGUGUUUCGACACACUAUCAUUAACUGAAUCCAUAGGUUAAUGAGGCGAACCGGGGGAACUGAAACAUCUAAGUACCCCGAGGAAAAGAAAUCAACCGAGAUUCCCCCAGUAGCGGCGAGCGAACGGGGAGCAGCCCAGAGCCUGAAUCAGUGUGUGUGUUAGUGGAAGCGUCUGGAAAGGCGNGUGUGACUGCGUACCUUUUGUAUAAUGGGUCAGCGACUUAUAUUCUGUAGCAAGGUUAACCGAAUAGGGGAGCCGAAGGGAAACCGAGUCUUAACUGGGCGUUAAGUUGCAGGGUAUAGACCCGAAACCCGGUGAUCUAGCCAUGGGCAGGUUGAAGGUUGGGUAACACUAACUGGAGGACCGAACCGACUAAUGUUGAAAAAUUAGCGGAUGACUUGUGGCUGGGGGUGAAAGGCCAAUCAAACCGGGAGAUAGCUGGUUCUCCCCGAAAGCUAUUUAGGUAGCGCCUCGUGAAUUCAUCUCCGGGGGUAGAGCACUGUUUCGGCAAGGGGGUCAUCCCGACUUACCAACCCGAUGCAAACUGCGAAUACCGGAGAAUGUUAUCACGGGAGACACACGGCGGGUGCUAACGUCCGUCGUGAAGAGGGAAACAACCCAGACCGCCAGCUAAGGUCCCAAAGUCAUGGUUAAGUGGGAAACGAUGUGGGAAGGCCCAGACAGCCAGGAUGUUGGCUUAGAAGCAGCCAUCAUUUAAAGAAAGCGUAAUAGCUCACUGGUCGAGUCGGCCUGCGCGGAAGAUGUAACGGGGCUAAACCAUGCACCGAAGCUGCGGCAGCGACGCUGAUGCGUUGUUGGGUAGGGGAGCGUUCUGUAAGCCUGCGAAGGUGUGCUGUGAGGCAUGCUGGAGGUAUCAGAAGUGCGAAUGCUGACAUAAGUAACGAUAAAGCGGGUGAAAAGCCCGCUCGCCGGAAGACCAAGGGUUCCUGUCCAACGUUAAUCGGGGCAGGGUGAGUCGACCCCUAAGGCGAGGCCGAAAGGCGUAGUCGAUGGGAAACAGGUUAAUAUUCCUGUACUUGGUGUUACUGCGAAGGGGGGACGGAGAAGGCUAUGUUGGCCGGGCGACGGUUGUCCCGGUUUAAGCGUGUAGGCUGGUUUUCCAGGCAAAUCCGGAAAACUAAGGCUGAGGCGUGAUGACGAGGCACUACGGUGCUGAAGCAACAAAUGCCCUGCUUCCAGGAAAAGCCUCUAAGCAUCAGGUAACAUCAAAUCGUACCCCAAACCGACACAGGUGGUCAGGUAGAGAAUACCAAGGCGCUUGAGAGAACUCGGGUGAAGGAACUAGGCAAAAUGGUGCCGUAACUUCGGGAGAAGGCACGCUGAUAUGUAGGUGAAGUCCCUCGCGGAUGGAGCUGAAAUCAGUCGAAGAUACCAGCUGGCUGCAACUGUUUAUUAAAAACACAGCACUGUGCAAACACGAAAGUGGACGUAUACGGUGUGACGCCUGCCCGGUGCCGGAAGGUUAAUUGAUGGGGUCAGCGCAAGCGAAGCUCUUGAUCGAAGCCCCGGUAAACGGCGGCCGUAACUAUAACGGUCCUAAGGUAGCGAAAUUCCUUGUCGGGUAAGUUCCGACCUGCACGAAUGGCGUAAUGAUGGCCAGGCUGUCUCCACCCGAGACUCAGUGAAAUUGAACUCGCUGUGAAGAUGCAGUGUACCCGCGGCAAGACGGAAAGACCCCGUGAACCUUUACUAUAGCUUGACACUGAACAUUGAGCCUUGAUGUGUAGGAUAGGUGGGAGGCUUUGAAGUGUGGACGCCAGUCUGCAUGGAGCCGACCUUGAAAUACCACCCUUUAAUGUUUGAUGUUCUAACGUGGACCCGUAAUCCGGGUUGCGGACAGUGUCUGGUGGGUAGUUUGACUGGGGCGGUCUCCUCCUAAAGAGUAACGGAGGAGCACGAAGGUUGGCUAAUCCUGGUCGGACAUCAGGAGGUUAGUGCAAUGGCAUAAGCCAGCUUGACUGCGAGCGUGACGGCGCGAGCAGGUGCGAAAGCAGGUCAUAGUGAUCCGGUGGUUCUGAAUGGAAGGGCCAUCGCUCAACGGAUAAAAGGUACUCCGGGGAUAACAGGCUGAUACCGCCCAAGAGUUCAUAUCGACGGCGGUGUUUGGCACCUCGAUGUCGGCUCAUCACAUCCUGGGGCUGAAGUAGGUCCCAAGGGUAUGGCUGUUCGCCAUUUAAAGUGGUACGCGAGCUGGGUUUAGAACGUCGUGAGACAGUUCGGUCCCUAUCUGCCGUGGGCGCUGGAGAA